Molecule: transfer RNA, 77 nt
Filed under: Thermoleophilaceae bacterium
Lineage: Bacteria; Bacillati; Actinomycetota; Thermoleophilia; Thermoleophilales; Thermoleophilaceae
Also listed under: 2 other names
Description: tRNA-Pro
Rfam family: tRNA
About the family: Transfer RNA (tRNA) molecules are approximately 80 nucleotides in length. Their secondary structure includes four short double-helical elements and three loops (D, anti-codon, and T loops).
Source: RNAcentral
CGGGGCGUAGCUCAGCCUGGUCAGAGCGCCCGCUUUGGGGGCGGGAGGUUUCGCUGGUUCGAAUCCAGCCGCCCCGA